GAUGAAGAACGUAGCGAAAUGCGAUAAGUAAUGUGAAUUGCAGAAUUCAGUGAAUCAUCGAAUCUUUGAACGCACAUUGCGCCCGCCAGUAUUCUGGCGGGCAUGCCUGUUCGAGCGUCAUUUCAACCAUCAAGCCCUCGGCUUGUGUUGGGGACCUGCGGCUGCCGCAGGCCCUGAAAACCAGUGGCGGGCUCGCUAGUCACUCCGAGCGUAGUAAUACAUCUCGCUCAGGGCGUGCUGCGGGUUCCGGCCGUUAAAAGCCUUAUUUACCCAAGGUUGACCUCGGAUCAGGUAGGAAGACCCGCUGAACUUAAGCAUAUCAAUAAGCGGAGGA
RNAcentral lists this unclassified non-coding RNA (334 nucleotides) under soil metagenome. Its description in RNAcentral is "partial contains 5.8S ribosomal RNA, internal transcribed spacer 2, and large subunit ribosomal RNA". The stretch from base 1 to 120 matches the Rfam family "5.8S ribosomal RNA", at positions 35 to 154 of the family's 154-position model. The record is from RNAcentral.